GAUGAGGUACAGUAGAGUAUUAAGAACACACUAAUAUACCAUAUGUCAGUGAGUAGAGUGCUAAGGUAGUAAAAAAAAAACGCUAAGCUAAUCGACUAUAUGGUUAGUCUUAGUAAUAUAGUGUUGAUAUGCGAGGAAUAUCUUUAAACUGUACAAUUUUAUGAAAGUAGGAUCAGGUUGGUCAAAUAUUGCAAGACAAGAUAUUAAAUAAGUUAGUCGAGGGACCAGUAGAGGUAGGCUAAACUAGAGUGAUGAUCUAACCUCUGUGUUAAAGGAACACUAUGGUCACCAGAGCCAUUACAGCUUAAUAUAUUGGUUCUGGUGUCUAUAGACUGUCC
This is a non-coding RNA of Pelobates cultripes (western spadefoot toad), 338 nucleotides long. NCBI's taxonomy places the organism in Eukaryota, Metazoa, Chordata, Amphibia, Anura, Pelobatidae. The record is from the annotation of a GenBank genome assembly.